Molecule: non-coding RNA, 110 nt
Filed under: Flammeovirga sp.
Lineage: Bacteria; Pseudomonadati; Bacteroidota; Cytophagia; Cytophagales; Flammeovirgaceae
Description: SAM-I sequence
Rfam family: SAM riboswitch aptamer (S box leader)
About the family: The SAM riboswitch is found upstream of a number of genes which code for proteins involved in methionine or cysteine biosynthesis in Gram-positive bacteria. The SAM riboswitch acts at the level of transcription termination control.
Source: RNAcentral
AUCUUAUCAAGAAAGGCAGAGGGAUUGGGCCCUAUGAAGUCUUGGCAACCUGCGCUCCUCAAAGCAAGGUGCCAACUCCCACCACGAAGGUGUUCGUGAAAAGAUGAGUU